This 87-nucleotide non-coding RNA is filed under the name Streptomyces cinnamoneus. Lineage: Bacteria; Bacillati; Actinomycetota; Actinomycetes; Kitasatosporales; Streptomycetaceae. The record is from RNAcentral.
CGGCGAAACGCACACGCCUGCCCGCGAGGUGGCCGGCGUGUGCGUCGCGGGGGAGUGGUGUCCCCCUCCUGACGAUGCCAGCCGCAU